AGUCACUGACAUUAGAUACCCGGGUAGUCCCAGCCGUAAACGAUGCGCGUUAGGUGUAUCGACGACCGCGAGUCGUCGAGGUGCCGAAGGGAAACCGUGAAACGUGCCGCCUGGGAAGUACGGUCGCAAGGCUGAAACUUAAAGGAAUUGGCGGGGGAGCACCGCAACGGGAGGAGCGUGCGGUUUAAUUGGAUUCAACACCGUAAAACUCACCAGGGAAGACUGUUACAUGAAGGCCGAGAUGAAGACUCUGCUAGAUUUUCAG
Molecule: ribosomal RNA, 265 nt
Filed under: uncultured archaeon
Lineage: Archaea
Description: partial 16S ribosomal RNA
Rfam family: Archaeal small subunit ribosomal RNA
Source: RNAcentral